ACACACAAGCUUGCAGCCUGCAAGACAGCUUUGCAGAGGGAAAUCUACUGGCAAGUUUUCAGCUCUUCCAGGAGCUAGGCAGCUUUCUUCAGGAAAGCUCUUUGAGCCCUCUCAGGAUGAAGUCCAACAGGGAUUGGAUCCGCAUCAGGUGGCAUCCAAACACAAGGACUUAGAGGGUGUGAACAAAGAAGGUCUGCUGGGGCAGAGGAAUUGAAAUUGACAAGAUGAAUGGGGACACUGGGAUGAGUCUGCCAGCAGCAGAUAUGUCAGUGCCCUAAAGAGGUAAUGGGAGUGAUAUAAGGAGAUGGACAAACUGUGUGGGUGCCCUGAAGGUGUGUGUGACCAUGGAAUGGGAGACUGGAGGAACCCAUGAUUGCAAACCAUGGGCCUGGUCCCUCUGGUAUGAACCAUGAGCCAGCUAAGCCUGAGUGCAAAGACAGAGAGAAGGCUGACCAGAGUCAUCAACCCCCAUAAUGACAUCAACCCCCAUAACCAGGGGCAACUCAAGAAAACCACACAGGAUGCUAGAAAACUACUGGAACAUCAAAGCCAGACAAA
RNAcentral lists this long non-coding RNA (558 nucleotides) under Pongo abelii (Sumatran orangutan). Its description in RNAcentral is "lincRNA". Lineage: Eukaryota; Metazoa; Chordata; Mammalia; Primates; Hominidae. The record is from RNAcentral.